AUCUCAGGAAUAGAGAAUUCGACGUUUCGAGCAUAAGCCCUUCAUCAGGAAUAAGAGAGAGAGAGCCAAGCCGGCUGAGAUAAAAGAUGAGAAUGGAAUGAAGUGAAUGAUACUGCAUAAUACUCCACAGCACAGAGGUGGAACGAGUAGAAAGUGUUAAGCUCCUGGGAGUAGUCAUCCACAACAAACUUUCUUGGACUCUUCAUCUGGAUGUACUGGUUAUAAAGGUUUAACAAUGUCUCUUCUU
Hemiscyllium ocellatum (epaulette shark) is the source of this 247-nucleotide long non-coding RNA. RefSeq lists it as uncharacterized. The transcript has 3 exons. NCBI's taxonomy places the organism in Eukaryota, Metazoa, Chordata, Chondrichthyes, Orectolobiformes, Hemiscylliidae. The record is from RefSeq and is a predicted model, not a curated record.